This 354-nucleotide small RNA is filed under the name Arabidopsis thaliana (thale cress). Its description in RNAcentral is "ATSL119000". The record is from RNAcentral. Lineage: Eukaryota; Viridiplantae; Streptophyta; Magnoliopsida; Brassicales; Brassicaceae.
UUUGGAUUAUUAACAUUCCGGUCCAAUCAUGACAAAAAGAAGGAUUAUUAUUGAUUUUUCCAUUUUUUAUAGAGAUCUUUUGAAAUUGCCAUUUUUACUAAAAUCUUACGGAUAUGCCAUUUUCUAAGAUUUAAAAACAUAUGGAUUUCGGACUUUUUUUGAUAAAAAUACGUAGUUUACACAAAAUACUAAACUCUAAAAACAACCAUAACCAACUAAACCCAAACAUAAUGAAUAAAACGCAUGUUAAAUCUUAUUUUGGUAACUUGAAAAAUGGCAAAAUCCACAAACUAUUCAAAAAAGGGCAAAAAUCCACAAAUGUCAUCCAAAAAAAUGGCAUUUUCAUAAUUGAUU